This 412-nucleotide ribosomal RNA is filed under the name bacterium enrichment culture clone ALO1_GLFRUDD03HHMOY. Its description in RNAcentral is "bacterial SSU rRNA". It matches the Rfam family "Bacterial small subunit ribosomal RNA", at positions 9 to 420 of the family's 1533-position model. The record is from RNAcentral.
GAGUUUGAUCAUGGCUCAGAUUGAACGCUGGCGGCAUGCCUUACACAUGCAAGUCGAACGGCAGCACGGGAGCUUGCUCCUGGUGGCGAGUGGCGAACGGGUGAGUAAUGCAUCGGAACGUAUCCUGGAGUGGGGGAUAACGUGGCGAAAGUUACGUUAAUACCGCAUAUUCUGUGAGCAGGAAAGCGGGGGACCUUCGGGCCUCGCGCUCUUGGAGCGGCCGAUGUCGGAUUAGCUAGUUGGUGAGGUAAAGGACUCACCAAGGCGACGAAUCCGUAGCAGGUCUGAGAGGAUGAUCUGCCACACUGGAACUGAGACACGGUCCAGACUCCUACGGGAGGCAGCAGUGGGGAAUUUUGGACAAUGGGGGCAACCCUGAUCCAGCCAUGCGCGUGAGUGAAGAAGGCCUGGU